This is a long non-coding RNA of Mytilus californianus (California mussel), 414 nucleotides long. RefSeq lists it as uncharacterized. The record is from RefSeq and is a predicted model, not a curated record. NCBI's taxonomy places the organism in Eukaryota, Metazoa, Mollusca, Bivalvia, Mytilida, Mytilidae. The transcript is spliced from 5 exons.
UGCAUUGAACAGGGGAAGAAAUUCUGGCUAUGCCGCCGGAGGCCUGCUGCAGAACAUUUCGACUAUUUAUCCAGACCAAUAUACUGAUCAAUGUUGGAAAUAACAAUACAAUCAUGAUCCAAAAGAACAAAAAAGAUUACAAUCAUAGCCAUCAAAUCAAUUAGUUUGAUAGAUGCUGCAGCAGCUAUCAAACUAAUAAAAGAUACUGCAACAAUACCUAUUAACCUGAAUAUGAAUAUAGGAAAUGCAAAUACCAUCUUAAUUAAAGAUACAGAAAAAGAGCAACAGCCCUCAAAAUAAAUGUUAUGACUUUUAUUAAAUGUUUUAAAUGCUUAAUUUGUUUGUGAAUGUCCUGUUUGUUAAUGUCUUUUAUUAUAAUUUUAUUUAUGUGUUUAUUAUAUUUGUGAUAUUGAC